GCCGAUGUGGCUCAGUUGGUAGAGCAGACGAUUCGUAAUCGUCAGGUCAGCGGUUCGACUCCGCUCAUCGGCU
RNAcentral lists this transfer RNA (73 nucleotides) under Candidatus Wallbacteria bacterium HGW-Wallbacteria-1. RNAcentral describes it as "tRNA-Thr". It matches the Rfam family "tRNA". From Rfam's summary of the family: Transfer RNA (tRNA) molecules are approximately 80 nucleotides in length. Their secondary structure includes four short double-helical elements and three loops (D, anti-codon, and T loops). Further hydrogen bonds mediate the characteristic L-shaped molecular structure. tRNAs have two regions of fundamental functional importance: the anti-codon, which is responsible for specific mRNA codon recognition, and the 3' end, to which the tRNAs corresponding amino acid is attached (by aminoacyl-tRNA synthetases). tRNAs cope with the degeneracy of the genetic code in two manners: having more than one tRNA (with a specific anti-codon) for a particular amino acid; and 'wobble' base-pairing, i.e. permitting non-standard base-pairing at the 3rd anti-codon position. Lineage: Bacteria; Candidatus Walliibacteriota. The record is from RNAcentral.